This 253-nucleotide ribosomal RNA is filed under the name uncultured Gracilibacter sp. RNAcentral's name for it is "partial 16S ribosomal RNA". It matches the Rfam family "Bacterial small subunit ribosomal RNA", at positions 524 to 776 of the family's 1533-position model. The record is from RNAcentral. Lineage: Bacteria; Bacillati; Bacillota; Clostridia; Eubacteriales; Gracilibacteraceae.
UACGUAGGUGGCGAGCGUUGUCCGGAAUUACUGGGCGUAAAGGGCGCGUAGGCAGCUCUUUAAGUCAGAUGUGAAAACCCAGAGCUUAACUUUGGGACUGCAUUUGAAACUGAAGGGCUUGAGUGCAGGAGAGGUAAGUGGAAUUCCUAGUGUAGCGGUGAAAUGCGUAGAUAUUAGGAGGAACACCAGUGGCGAAGGCGACUUACUGGACUGUAACUGACGCUGAGGCGCGAAAGCGUGGGGAGCAAACAGG